UUUUAUUGAUUAAAAUUGUUUGCUAGUUCAAUUAACUGCCUGCUCAUUUCAUCUAUACAGUCUGCUUGAUGUCCUUUUUGUGAAUAUUAGGAACUUAAUAAAGUUAAUUAAAAUAAAGAUAUUUAGGAGAGUCUUUAGGUGUUUCUAGAAAAAGAGCCGCUGAAAAAAAGGGACAGCUGCCCAAUUUAUUAAGAAAAGAUGCUGAAAAUGAGAUAAAUAUCUUAAAACAGGUACAACUGUCCAAAAAUUGUUAGAAAAGAUGCCAUUCCCCUUAAAUUUUUGGAGGUGAUAGAUUCCCUCUUAGACUCUCUCAUUCCCUAUCUUCUUGCACGCCAUUUUCGGGUUUAGGAAGGGUAGUGUAUAUGCGGAUCUUAGCUCUGCUCUGGAAUACAGAGCCUGUUUCCAAAUAGACCACCGGUAUCUUUCCCUCCAAGAACUUCCCACCUUGCUCUUGGAAAUACUCGAACUCACAAUCUCCCAGUUGAAAGUGGGGUUGCUUACCAUCAGAGCAACCCCUCUUGACCAAAAUUCUCUACAGAAGUUACUGAUAUAUUUCACUCUUCAUCCCUAAUUUUUUCUAAGAAAAGACGCUAAAGAAUUCACUCAAACUUCAGUAGAGAAAAUUUUCCAGAACUCCAGCUUCCUUUUAAAUUUUCAGAAAAACAUCAAAAAAAAAGAGAAGGAAUUCUCUUAGAUUGUUUCAUUUUCACUAUUACUGUUAAAUUUUAAACAUUUCCUCAGCUUUCGUCUCGCCAUUUUUUAGUUUUUAUUUUUUGUUGUUUAGUAAUUUAUGGGAUUCUAAGAGUGGUCGAAAUUCUCAAAGUUAUUGAUUGAUUGUUGGAUUAGUUGUUGAAUUCCAUUCAAGCUUGUUUCUUACAUUUAUUUGGUUCAUUUCCAGUGAGUUCAUUGCUGAAUAGGUAAGUUCACUUUAUCAUGUAUUAUCUCCACUUUGAAUGAUUAAUAGUGAUGUUGUCCUGUCAUAUUACUUCCCGGGAAUCAAUUUCCAUUUGUUUGUAUGAUAGAUCUGUGUAGCUUUAGACCUAACGUUAUAUGCGCAUGACUUGAUUGAAUGUAAAGGACUUUCAACAUGUACUCAUCUAAUGGUUUAGUUUGUUUGUUGAAUGUAUGAUCCUUCUUAUUUACAAUGAUUUCAGAACUAAUAUUUUUGAAAAAUUCUAUUCCAAUCAUAAGGAUACGCUUGGAUUAUUAGCAUCUAUGGCACUGACUUUGAGAAUAAAGGCACAUUAAACUUCAAACUGAGCAUUUUAAAGGGCUAUAUAGAGCAUUAACACAUAGAUUUUGUUCAAUGGCAAUAGUUCGGUUUGGUUAACAUAACCAAGUUGAUAGUAUAUUUUUAAAAUAGUAGAGCUUUAAACCUCGAGUGUAACAGGAAAAUUUUAGUUGACAUGUGUAUUUGCUGGAGAAGAACAAGUUUUUUAGUAUUUCAAUGUGGGGUAUUGAAAUUAUAGGUCAUAAUUAAUUUAGAUUGUCAUUAAAAUAGUUAUUACUGAAGUAUUUGAGCUGUAACUCUAGUUAUGAAAGGU
RNAcentral lists this long non-coding RNA (1544 nucleotides) under Nicotiana benthamiana. RNAcentral's name for it is "long non-coding RNA (NBEN_LNC041605)". The record is from RNAcentral. Lineage: Eukaryota; Viridiplantae; Streptophyta; Magnoliopsida; Solanales; Solanaceae.